CCUACGGGAGGCUGCAGUGGGGAAUAUUGGACAAUGGGCGAAAGCCUGAUCCAGCCAUGCCGCGUGUGUGAAGAAGGCCUUCGGGUUGUAAAGCACUUUCAGUGGGGAAGAAAGCCUUGGGGCUAAUACCCUCGAGGAAGGACAUCACCCACAGAAGAAGCACCGGCUAACUCCGUGCCAGCAGCCGCGGUAAUACGGAGGGUGCGAGCGUUAAUCGGAAUUACUGGGCGUAAAGCGCGCGUAGGCGGUCUGAUAAGCCGGUUGUGAAAGCCCCGGGCUCAACCUGGGAACGGCAUUCGGAACUGUAAGGCUAGAGUGCAGGAGAGGAAGGUAGAAUUCCCGGUGUAGCGGUGAAAUGCGUAGAGAUCGGGAGGAAUACCAGUGGCGAAGGCGGCCUUCUGGACUGACACUGACGCUGAGGUGCGAAAGCGUGGGUAGCAAACAGGAUUAGAUACCCUAGUAGUC
RNAcentral lists this ribosomal RNA (465 nucleotides) under Vreelandella stevensii. RNAcentral describes it as "partial 16S ribosomal RNA". It matches the Rfam family "Bacterial small subunit ribosomal RNA", at positions 338 to 795 of the family's 1533-position model. The record is from RNAcentral. Lineage: Bacteria; Pseudomonadati; Pseudomonadota; Gammaproteobacteria; Oceanospirillales; Halomonadaceae.